Molecule: ribosomal RNA, 460 nt
Filed under: uncultured bacterium
Lineage: Bacteria
Description: partial 16S ribosomal RNA
Rfam family: Bacterial small subunit ribosomal RNA
Source: RNAcentral
CCUACGGGUGGCAGCAGUGAGGAAUAUUGGUCAAUGGACGAGAGCCUGAACCAGCCAAGCCGCGUGAAGGAUGACUGCCCUAUGGGUUGUAAACUUCUUUUAUAUGGGAAUAAAAUGUUCCACGUGUGGGAUGUUGUAUGUAUCAUAUGAAUAAGGAUCGGCUAACUCCGUGCCAGCAGCCGCGGUAAUACGGAGGAUCCGAGCGUUAUCCGGAUUUAUGGGGUAUAAAGGGGGCGAUGGUGGAUUGUUAAGUCAGAUGUAAAAGUGUGCGGCUCAACCGUAAAAUUGCCGUGGAAACUGGCAGUCUUGAGUACGGUAGAGGUGGGCGGAAUUCGUGGUGUAGCGGUGAAAUGCUUAGAUAUCACGAAGAACUCCGAUUGCGAAGGCAGCUCACUGGACUGCAACUGACACUGAGGCACGAAAGUGUGGGUAUCAAACAGGAUUAGAUACCCCUGUAGUC